GUGCCAGCAGCCGCGGUAAUACGUAGGGGGCGAGCGUUGUCCGGAGUUACUGGGCGUAAAGCGCACGCAGGCGGUCUGCUAAGUUUGGAGUGACAGUUGAUGGCUCAACCAUCAAAGUGCUUCGAAAACUGACAGACUUGAGGGCUUCAGAGGGACACGGAAUUCCGGGUGGAGUGGUGAAAUGCGUAGAGAUCCGGAGGAACACCGAAGGCGAAGGCAGUGUCCUGGGGAGUACCUGACGCUCAGGUGCGAAAGCUAGGGGAGCGAACGGGAUUAGAUACCCCCGUAGUCC
RNAcentral lists this ribosomal RNA (292 nucleotides) under uncultured bacterium. RNAcentral describes it as "partial 16S ribosomal RNA". It matches the Rfam family "Bacterial small subunit ribosomal RNA", at positions 505 to 796 of the family's 1533-position model. The record is from RNAcentral.